AGUCAGAAGAUGUACUAAAAGAUGUCGAGCUGAAGAAACUGAGUCUGAUAGAGGAUACCACAAUUGAAAGGGAAGCCAUUGUGCAAGACUUGGAAAAGAGAUGGAAGACAACUAGUUAUGUGAUACUUUGCUGACCACCACCUUCAGCUGAGGACUCUGAGCAGAGUCUGUAUGA
Eptesicus fuscus (big brown bat) is the source of this 175-nucleotide long non-coding RNA. RefSeq lists it as uncharacterized. Lineage: Eukaryota; Metazoa; Chordata; Mammalia; Chiroptera; Vespertilionidae. The record is from RefSeq and is a predicted model, not a curated record. The transcript has 4 exons.